GCGGCCGUAGUGUAGCCUGGUUAUCACUUUAGCUUGCCAAGCUAGAGACUCGGGUUCAAAUCCCGACGGCCGCA
RNAcentral lists this transfer RNA (74 nucleotides) under Thermoplasmata archaeon. Its description in RNAcentral is "tRNA-Gly". It matches the Rfam family "tRNA". From Rfam's summary of the family: Transfer RNA (tRNA) molecules are approximately 80 nucleotides in length. Their secondary structure includes four short double-helical elements and three loops (D, anti-codon, and T loops). Lineage: Archaea; Methanobacteriati; Thermoplasmatota; Thermoplasmata. The record is from RNAcentral.